GGAAUUUUGGACAAUGGGGGAAACCCUGAUCCAGCCAUGCCGCGUGUAUGAAGAAGGCCUUCGGGUUGUAAAGCACUUUUGUCAGGGAAGAAAUCCUUUGGGCUAAUACCCUAGGGGGAUGACGGUACCUGAAGAAUAAGCACCGGCUAACUACGUGCCAGCAGCCGCGGUAAUACGUAGGGUGCAAGCGUUAAUCGGAAUUACUGGGCGUAAAGCGUGCGCAGGCGGUUGUGUAAGACAGGUGUGAAAUCCCCGGGCUUAACCUGGGAAUUGCAUUUGUGACUGCACGACUAGAGUGUGUCAGAGGGGGGUGGAAUUCCACGUGUAG
Molecule: ribosomal RNA, 328 nt
Filed under: Pseudo-nitzschia pungens
Lineage: Eukaryota; Bacillariophyta; Bacillariophyceae; Bacillariales; Bacillariaceae
Description: partial Bacterial small subunit ribosomal RNA
Rfam family: Bacterial small subunit ribosomal RNA
Source: RNAcentral